GAUGAACGCUGGCGGCGUGCCUAAUACAUGCAAGUCGAGCGAACAGACGAGGAGCUUGCUCCUCUGACGUUAGCGGCGGACGGGUGAGUAACACGUGGAUAACCUACCUAUAAGACUGGGAUAACUUCGGGAAACCGGAGCUAAUACCGGAUAAUAUAUUGAACCGCAUGGUUCAAUAGUGAAAGACGGUUUUGCUGUCACUUAUAGAUGGAUCCGCGCCGCAUUAGCUAGUUGGUAAGGUAACGGCUUACCAAGGCGACGAUGCGUAGCCGACCUGAGAGGGUGAUCGGCCACACUGGAGCUGAGACACGGUCCAGCCUCCUACGGGAGGCAGCAGUAGGGAAUCUUCCGCAAUGGGCGAAAGCCUGACGGAGCAACGCCGCGUGAGUGAUGAAGGUCUUCGGAUCGUAAAACUCUGUUAUUAGGGAAGAACAAAUGUGUAAGUAACUAUGCACGUCUUGACGGUACCUAAUCAGAAAGCCACGGCUAACUACGU
RNAcentral lists this ribosomal RNA (496 nucleotides) under uncultured bacterium. Its description in RNAcentral is "partial 16S ribosomal RNA". It matches the Rfam family "Bacterial small subunit ribosomal RNA", at positions 28 to 506 of the family's 1533-position model. The record is from RNAcentral.